RNAcentral lists this ribosomal RNA (253 nucleotides) under uncultured bacterium. RNAcentral's name for it is "partial 16S ribosomal RNA". It matches the Rfam family "Bacterial small subunit ribosomal RNA", at positions 524 to 776 of the family's 1533-position model. The record is from RNAcentral.
UACGUAUUGGGCGAGCGUUGUUCGGCAUUAUUGGGCGUAAAGGGCGUCUAGGCGGGGAUUUAAGUUAGGUGUGAAAGCUAUGGGCUCAACCCAUAAACUGCACCUAAAACUGAAUCUCUUGAGUUCGGGAGAGGAGAGCGGAAUUCCAGGUGUAGCGGUGAAAUGCGUAGAUAUCUGGAAGAACACCAGUGGCGAAGGCGGCUCUCUGGCCUAGAACUGACGCUGAAGCGCGAAAGCGUGGGGAGCGAACAGG